GCUGGGUGUAGUGGUUCAGACCUAUUGUCCCAGAUGCCAGGGAGGUUGAGCCUAGUGGUCUUGAGCUCAGGAGUUCUGAGCUGCAGUGGGCUAAGCAGAUAAGAGUGUCCACACUAAAUCCAGCACCAGCAAGUUGAGUCCCCAGGAAUAGGGAUCACCAGGUUGACUAAGGAGGUGCAAACUAGACCAGGUGAGGAAAUGAAGCAUGUCAAAGUUCCUGGGCCAAUCAGUAGUAAGGUUGAAUCCAUGAGUGGCCCCUGAACUUGCAGACUGGGUAAGAUAGAGAAACCCAGUCUUU
Molecule: signal recognition particle RNA, 298 nt
Filed under: Phascolarctos cinereus (koala)
Lineage: Eukaryota; Metazoa; Chordata; Mammalia; Diprotodontia; Phascolarctidae
Description: Metazoan signal recognition particle RNA (ENSPCIG00000028195.2)
Rfam family: Metazoan signal recognition particle RNA
About the family: The signal recognition particle (SRP) is a universally conserved ribonucleoprotein.
Source: RNAcentral